RNAcentral lists this unclassified non-coding RNA (322 nucleotides) under uncultured fungus. Its description in RNAcentral is "partial contains 5.8S ribosomal RNA and internal transcribed spacer 2". The stretch from base 1 to 133 matches the Rfam family "5.8S ribosomal RNA", at positions 22 to 154 of the family's 154-position model. Lineage: Eukaryota; Fungi. The record is from RNAcentral.
UGGUUCUGGCAUCGAUGAAGAACGCAGCGAAAUGCGAUAAGUAGUGUGAAUUGCAGAAUUCCGUGAAUCAUCGAAUUUUUGAACGCAUAUUGCGCCUAUUGGUAUUCCAAUAGGCAUGCCUGUUCGAGCGUCAUUUAAACCUUCAAGCUCUGCUUGGUGUUGGGUGUUUGUCUCAGUUUGUCUGUAGACUCGCCUUUAAUGUAUUGGCAGUCGGCAAUUAGGUACGAGAGCGCAGCACAUUUUGCGCUUUUGGCUAUAAUAGUCGGCAUCCAUGAAGUAUAUUCCAUCAUUUGACCUCGGAUCAGGUAGGGAUACCCGCUGA